GACGAACGCUGGCGGCGUGCCUAAUUCAUGCAAGUUGAGCGCUGAAGGUUGGUACUUGUACCAACUGGAUGAGCAGCGAACGGGUGAGUAACGCGUGGGGAAUCUGCCUUUGAGCGGGGGACAACAUUUGGAAACGAAUGCUAAUACCGCAUAAAAACUUUAAACACAAGUUUUAAGUUUGAAAGAUGCAAUUGCAUCACUCAAAGAUGAUCCCGCGUUGUAUUAGCUAGUUGGUGAGGUAAAGGCUCACCAAGGCGAUGAUACAUAGCCGACCUGAGAGGGUGAUCGGCCACAUUGGGACUGGGACACGGCCCAAACUCCUACGGGAGGCAGCAGUAGGGAAUCUUCGGCAAUGGACGAAAGUCUGACCGAGCAACGCCGCGUGAGUGAAGAAGGUUUUCGGAUCGUAAAACUCUGUUGGUAGAGAAGAACGUUGGUGAGAGUGGAAAGCUCAUCAAGUGACGGUAACUACCCAGAAAGGGACGGCUAACUACGUG
RNAcentral lists this ribosomal RNA (497 nucleotides) under uncultured bacterium. Its description in RNAcentral is "partial 16S ribosomal RNA". It matches the Rfam family "Bacterial small subunit ribosomal RNA", at positions 28 to 507 of the family's 1533-position model. The record is from RNAcentral.